CUCUCCUCCUCCAUGGCCCGGCCCCAGGCUGGCGCGGUGUGUCAGGGCGUGGCGCCGUCCGCACCUCACGCCGACAGGCCAGACAUGUCCUUCGUUCCCUUUGGAUCAUUACAGCGUUCGUGCACAGAUGUCACGAAACACCUCUGAAGAGGCUGCUGGGCCGCGUUUCUUGUGGCACGUGAGGGGAACAUGUGUCUUGUGCCAGAGGAGAGACGCAUACACACGUCCACGAGAGCUCUCACAGAGAGCGCCCGUAUGUCUCUGGCUUCUGAGUGCCGCAAUCCCAGCCUCCCACGGCCCAGCCAGCGCGCCUGUGAGCCUGGCGCGGCAGCCCCCGUGCGGCACCUGGGCCGCACCGUCCCGUCCCGUCAGGGGCAGCCCGGGCCUCGCCCGUUUUCUGUUUUAUUUGGUUGCCAGUCAAAACGCAAUACGGCCUGUGUUUGCCUCGGGAGGUGCCUCGGGGAUGUUUUCAAGUCCCCGGUGAGAACUUGAGUCACCUCUCGGCAAGUCUCUCCUCCGAGAGGGCCACUGCUCCCGCCCCGGGGUGGACUGUGUCCUCAGAUGCCAGGUGGGUCCCCGUGUGGAUGAGGCCCCAGCUCCCUGAAGGUCACCGUGGGGCGAGCCACAGAGACCCAGCAGAGUGCCACUGACGAGGCCGCGCUAACCGGCCGUGUCGGGGAGACUCCAAAGCACCGGUGUCUGCCCGGAAUGUCACAGCGGUGUCUGUCCCCGGUUUCCCAGUGCCCUGGAGGUCCUGCCAGAACUGCUCACGGCCGAUACCGAGCUAAAGAAUGUGUAGGCGGAGGUCAGGCUUUAUUUUUGGUUGCUGGCAUGGUAGUGAGCAUUCAUGAAAGCAAGUGAUGACUCACUAGUAGGUGGAGAAUUGAAUGAGUUCCUUCCUAAAAUCAGUUUCCUGAAACUCCAAGUGGAGCAGGCACUUGUUCUCACGACCCAGCGUCCCUCCUGUGUCUGGGAGCAGCAUCACCCCUGCCCGCACUACCUGCUUCUGCCCUGCUCCUUGCAGGUCUGCCAGGCACAGCCCUCUAACCUUGGUGGCAGGGUGGGCACCUGACCCCGGUCAAGCCCGUCACUGCAUGGCUUCAGGUGGCAGGGUGGGCACCUGUCCCGGGUCUAGCCAUCACUGCAUGGCUUCAGAUGGCAGGGUGGGCACCUGUCCCGGGUCUAGCCAUCACUGCAUGGCUUCAGGUGGCAGGGUGGGCACCUGUCCCGGGUCUAGCCCGUCACUGCAUGGCUUCAGGUGGCAGGGUGGGCACCUGUCCCGGGUCUAGCCCGUCACUGCAUGGCUUCAGGUGGCACGGUGGGCACCUGUCCCGGGUCUAGCCGUCACUGCAUGGCUUCAGCAAGCCCCCAAGGAUAGAGAUGCGAUCCAGGCCAGGCCGGGCCAGCCAGGGCCCUUCCCUUGGGUUUUUCUCACUGAAGAUGGAAAGGCAAUGCAUCUCUUUGUCCUUUGACAGCUAACAAAAAGGACAGACUCCCCUAGAGUUGCUGGCCAUCACAGAAGAGCCCACAAGGAAGCCAAUACGUAAAAAAGCGGCUGAGUUGAGAGAUAAAAGACAACAGUUGAAAUUGGGAUACUAUUUUGGCACCUGAAACUAGUUUUAUCUCUGAAUUCCAUGUAUGAAUCAGCUUCACCCACGGCCCCUCAGUUCCCUUUUGCUUAAUGGUCUCUAACAACACUUUAAGAAAGUGGCCUUGAAAACCCACCAGUCCAAUUUCCUUAUUUUACAGGUACGGAAGUGGAAACGGGGAGAGAUUCAGUAAUUGCACAAAAAGCAUGACAAGAACACCUUGUUGGAGCAUCCUGCCGCCACCUUUCAAGCCAUCCAUCGCUGUGCAGUGGCAGGGGGACAUGAGGGCACUGGAGACUUGGGACCGCCAGGAGCCAGCGUCCUCGCCGAGUCCUGGAGUCCUUCCCCUGGCUCGCUACCCUCGGCCAGUGCGGCCGGAGGGGUCUCUCUCCGUCCUCGGAGGGCAGGUCUGCACGGAGCUGUCCGCCUAGCCCGAGGGUGAAGUGUCACAGAAGACACAAACUGCAUUCGUGGCAGUUCACGCGGCGUCUCCGCCCGAGGGUCCCUGGAGGCCUCCUUCUGGAAGUCCCCCCUUCUCACAAGGGUUGGGGUGUCUUGGUCCCACUGAGACGCCCUGAGCAGGGCUCACCGCGGAGCUGGGACUCGGAGGACCUGGUCUCUCACGGGAUAGUGGUCACGGAUCUGCCCACGAGUGGCCCAACGCUGUCCUCUAAUUUCCCACUCGUCGUCUCCCUUACUUGCUGACUCCCCCCGGCGAGCAACAGCUAAUGACUCUAAGACUGCCUUUCCCAGCCGUCCCAGCCCAAGGCGUUCGGGCAUGGUGGGUGCCGUCAGGACAGACGAGGGACCGCGUCCUCCGCGCACUCUCCUCCAGGCGCCAGGCAGACGCCGCUCCACACGGGCCCAUCCCACCCAGCGGGGCCGCACCACUGGCGCCGCCCGCACGCGGGGAGGAAGCCUCGACUGCGCAGACGGCGGGCUGUGGGGCAGGCGUGCGUCUGCGCUCUCUCUCACGGGAAACACAGCGCCAGUGUUGGGUCGCGCGACAGAGCAAAAACGUGGCAACGUGUCGACAAAAGGAGGGAAGAGCAAUCACCAAAGCCACACAGCGAGAGCUCAGUAAGCGUGAGCAGCCGCCGCCCCGUUCCACUGGUCAAUCAGCCGUUCAUCCGUGAACCGUGUGCUGACCUGCAGAUGGUAGGUACACUGGGGACCACGUCAGGUGCGCGUGGAUUCUGCCCUAGGCACCACGGUAGCCUGGGGGGAGGGAGAGGCAGACAGCGCACACGCACGCGCGCGUGCGCACACACACACACACACGGCUUCUCCUGCGUGCACAAGCUGGUGGGGACGGUGGGAGGGUCCAGGGUCCUGAGACUGAAACGUCAGAGUUCUAGCUCUUGCAUAAAUCUUGGAUCGACAUAGAGAGGGAAAAACACAUUACUGGCUAAACCAGAAAAAUGUGUCCCAGACGUCUGCGGAGGUUGCACAGUGAGGCGGUGAGUGAGGCUGGAGACGGGCCUUGUGUCAGCCUCCCGCGUGGGAGGCUGCAGGUCCGAGAGGUGGCGGCUGUGCCGUGAGGGUCCCAGAGCCCGGUCUCCCGCCGAGCCCUGUCCGGCUGCCCCUGGGCAUGAGGUGGGGGGAGGUGGCCGCCGUCCGCCCGCCUCCGUCAGGGCAAGUCCCGGGGCCCGAGCCCCGCUAUAUAUAGCAGGGGACUUGCAUAAGAGCGCUGUUACAAAAGGGCAGUGGAGAGGGAGAGAGGACGCCAGCUGAAUGUUUUCCACCAAAGCUCAUUUUAGCAGAUGCAUUUUCUCUGCUUCCUCGAUAACGGUGCACCAGGCCUGUCCCCGGUGCCUGUGGACCCACAGUGGUGUCUGUGCUGGGCACCUGUGACCCUGACAGGUACACCGCACUCAUGCCCGCCCUUCAUUUCAUGUGUCACGCCCCCCCCCCCCCUGCCAUUCGCCCUGGGGGCUGCGGAGGAGGCCACGGUGACUUAGACUGAAUCCACAAAGUAUCUGGGAUAAUGUUGGAAAGGAAUGUUCUAAGCUCAGCAGGAUGGGUGACUCACACAUAGCUGUUCAGUCUAUCUUAAGAUAGAAAUACUUUACAGUUUGUGAUUGUUCCAAAGUAGAGCUUUCUUGUCCCAGCAGAUCUCUCACACGCUGUGCUGCCCAGGGGCGCCUAGCUUCUGUUGAAUUUGUGUCUGUCUGUCUACGUUCCGUGGCCGUGACGUCAUGCAACAGUGACGGGGUGCUGCGUGUGGUCUUCCCCAGGGCAGGUGGUUUGCCUGUCGUCCUGGAGUCCCUCCCAGCCCACGUUUGUCCUGGUGUGCGGAUCCGUGCUGGGACAGCAGAUUACUGACAGGGUCCCCCCGAGUGCUAAUAGCUAACACGGAAGGCUCCCUCGAGCUUUGCUCCAUGCCCUUUAUAGGUAAUGACUCGUUUCUGGAUCCCCAUUUUAAGGAUGAAGACACAGGUUCAGAAAGGUUAAGUGACCAAGAGCUGCGCUCUGUCAGACGCUGCUGGGACCCUCUCCCUCCUCGGUCAACGCAGGUCACCAACCCUGCUUCCCGGACGUGAAUUUGAUUCAGCCUCUACCGCACACUGGGCCCUGGGAUCUACUACACGCAGGAAACAAACCUGGCAGCGGCGGCAGCGGCGGACGCAGCCCUGCCUCCACGAAGCCACACGGAGCCCCACGUGGCCACAAACAGAAGUGAGAGCACCUGCCCGAGUCGGGGGAGCACGGCUGGAUCUGCCCCCUGGCUCUUUACCAGGUGUGAAAUGAAUGCAGAAAACCCGCAAGAGACUGGACCACUGUCCUAUUAAUCCACUGGACGGCUUUGUCCCGCCUCGCUCGUUCCCUUCACACGCUUAGGCCACGUCUGACGUCUGUGGCCACGGGGGAGACGCACGCAUCCCAGCGACGGAGAACAUGAACGCAAGCCGGACCGCGGAGCCACUGUCCCCAAGGCAGACAACAGACGCGGCACGUCCGCGGGCUGGAGACGGGCGGGGGGACGGGGACGGGAGAGAGGACACGAGUGGGACAGAGGCGGGGACAGGGACAACAGGAGCCGAGCCCACGCUGCCCGCCUGGCCGCCCCCUCACUCUCUCACCCUGCGUGUGCCAGGCGCCGGGCGGGGCUGGGGUCGCUCUCGCUGGGCAGCGGCGGCAGAAGCCCGUGUUCCGCACGGCACUCCACGCCUCCGAGCCCGGCCCCGGCGAGCACGCCACGCUGGAAACGAGAGUCCCAGGCGCCGUGUCCUUAGAAAUCCCGCGAGUGACAGAGACUGGCUUCCCCGCGGCAGACGGGGCUGUUUCCGGGCUUUUCGGCAGGUGAGCGGCGUGUGGAGCCGCACAGGGGACGUUCGAGGGGCGGGGAGUCGCGCGGCCCAGACGCGGCAUGAAGUAUGCAGGCCGCCUGCUAGCCAGGGAGGCGCUGUCCCCUUACGGCCUACAUUCCUGGCGGGGUCGCAGCCCAGGGAGCCUCAGCUCUCUCGCCCAAGGCGGCCGGUGCAGGCCUGGAGGCCCCCCACCCCCGGACUCCUCGGCCGUGGCAGGGCACUCCGCUCGGGGACCAGGCAGAUGAAGUGUCCUGGCCGCGUGCUCCCACGAGCCUUGCCCGCUGGUAGACGGCCCUUCAUUUCCCAGUUUCCCUCAAGUAUGAGGGAGCCUUAAGAGCAUUUACUGCUUUUUUAAAUUAAACGAAUACACGGAACAGCCAGGGAGGAGCGGUACUCGUUCACGCCACAGUUUAGCAAGUUCAUCCGUGAGGAUCUGUAACAAGACAGAAUAAACAGGCCCAGGAGCUCUCUUCUCACGGGGAGGGCCUGGGGGGCAGGCCGGCCCGGCCUUGCCUCCGUCACCCCAGCCCUGCGGUCGGCACGCGCGGUCUGGGCCCGUCGCUGUGUCCGCCCACCCCGCCAGGCCCCGGGGCUCGCCGCUCCAGAAACGCGAUCGUGACGCCUGCCCGUGAGACUCCUCCUGAAGCGUAGGUGAGACCGUGAACGCGAGGGUCUGGUGUUGAGCCUGGCAAGGACUUGGGUCUGCUCUCUCUUUCUUUCGAUGCUGGUAAGAUACGAACAUCAACUGUAGCUUUAGACUGAAAGGCUUCUCAAGCUCUCAGAAUCUAGUGGAGAAUUCAAUUCAGACUUUAAAAAAGCAGACAUUAAGUUCUCCCCAGAUCUGUCGAUGAUGCAUCGUUGCUACAGAGACUCUCACAGGCCAAAACACACACCUGCCCGUCUCUUCCUUUCUCUUCGCUGGAGCGCUACAGAGAGCAGCCCUCUCCUGCUGGAGCGCGCACAGUGAAGGAAGAUCUGAUCCGGCUCCUUUGAAAAGCAAACAACGCAACACCCCAACCCUUAACAUAACCCCGACUCUUUAAAAGAAAGCUGAGCUUGCAGGAGGGGCCGUGGCGGCCUGGAGCCCUGGAGCCCCGGAGCCCUCCGGAGCCCGCCGCAGCCCUCCGGAGCCCGCCGCAGCCCCGCUCUCCAGGGGCGGCUCACCUCCUCCUCUGAUGCCGUCGGAGGCCAAGGAACGUCAAAGACAAAGCCGCCUCCCUCCCUGCCGCAGCACCGGAACAGGGUGCGCCCAAGAGUCUGCAGCGCACU
Molecule: non-coding RNA, 6169 nt
Organism: Microcebus murinus (gray mouse lemur)
Lineage: Eukaryota; Metazoa; Chordata; Mammalia; Primates; Cheirogaleidae
Source: RefSeq, a predicted model, not a curated record